UUUAAACUGGUCUCAGUUGGAAAACAGUUUUUAUAGUUCUGUUUUAGUUUGAGCUUUACUUUUCUUCAUCUGGAGUUCUAUAACCCGAGCACUACACUGUUUCAACAGGUCUUUAAACUGUAGACCUGCAGGAGGCAGAGACGGACACACGGGAGGGACGUGAACAUUUCAACUCCAAACACUGUGUACUUCAAAGUCCGGAGCUUCAAUGAACACAACAUACGGGAGAAACUCUGAUGUCCGCAAGACUUUGAGGGCCUGCCAGAGAACAAACCCAAUAUUACAUAGGGAACAGCACCUGUGGGUUGACGUCCAGAAUGCAGAUCUUUCCCGAGUCCACAACCUCAUGGAUGGAGUUGAUCUUGGUGCCGUACAGGUUGCCAUCAUACUCUCCAUGUUCCAGAAAACGACCGUUUUUAAUGUCUGCCUCCAUUUCACUUCUUGACAUAAAAAGAUACAUCUGCCCUUC
Astyanax mexicanus (Mexican tetra) is the source of this 469-nucleotide long non-coding RNA. RefSeq lists it as uncharacterized. Lineage: Eukaryota; Metazoa; Chordata; Actinopteri; Characiformes; Acestrorhamphidae. The record is from RefSeq and is a predicted model, not a curated record. The transcript has 3 exons.